AAGUCGUAACAAGGUUUCCGUAGGUGAACCUGCAGGAUCAUUAACACGUCUCCAACGUUAAAACAACCCCGUGCUUUCAGCUUGCUCCUGUAGCCCGUGAAAGCAGCAAUCCCUGGUAAAUCAUUGUUGACCAGCUUGUGAUAUUUUAUAGCUACGGUUAGCGAUUGCAUCUAGUGACCUGGCAUCCCCAAGUAAUCAGUGUUCUGAAAGUGUCAUUGAUUAUGAGGAUGGCGCAGUCCACACGGCCGGCGACCGGGUCGGGCUCUGCCCCUUUACGACAACUACAGUCUAACUUCGCCGCGCGUGAAAUUCGCACGGCACCAAAAACCGAACAACUGUUAACAAUGGAUAUCUUGGUUCUC
RNAcentral lists this unclassified non-coding RNA (362 nucleotides) under fungal sp. RNAcentral's name for it is "partial internal transcribed spacer region". Lineage: Eukaryota; Fungi. The record is from RNAcentral.